Molecule: ribosomal RNA, 264 nt
Filed under: uncultured bacterium
Lineage: Bacteria
Description: partial 16S ribosomal RNA
Rfam family: Bacterial small subunit ribosomal RNA
Source: RNAcentral
UGGAUCCUACGGGGGGCAGCAGUGGGGAAUAUUGCACAAUGGGGGGAACCCUGAUGCAGCGACGCCGCGUGAGUGAAGAAGUAUUUCGGUAUGUAAAGCUCUAUCAGCAGGGAAGAUAAUGACGGUACCUGACUAAGAAGCCCCGGCUAACUACGUGCCAGCAGCCGCGGUAAUACGUAGGGGGCAAGCGUUAUCCGGAUUUACUGGGUGUAAAGGGUGCGCAGGUGGAAGGGCAAGUCAGAUGUGAAAGCCCGGGGCUCAACC